AGAGUUGAUCAUGGCUCAGGAUGAACGCUAGCUACAGGCUUAACACAUGCAAGUCGAGGGGCAGCAUGGGGUUGCUGCAAACCCCGAUGGCGACCGGCGCACGGGUGAGUAACGCGUAUCCAACCUGCCCCUGUCCUCGGGAUAGCCCGCCGAAAGGCGGAUUAAUACCGGACGCUGUCACAUGAUGGCAUCAGAGCGUGACGAAAGGAUUUUUUCCGGACAGGGAUGGGGAUGCGUCCGAUUAGGCAGGCGGCGGGGCGACGGCCCACCGCGCCGACGAUCGGUAGGGGUUCUGAGAGGAAGGUCCCCCACAUUGGAACUGAGACACGGUCCAAACUCCUACGGGAGGCAGCAGUGAGGAAUAUUGGUCAAUGGGCGAGAGCCUGAACCAGCCAAGUAAGCGUGAGGGAUGACGGCCCUACGGGUUGUAAACCUCUUUUUCGCGGGGAUAAAGUGCGCCACGCGUGGCGUUUUGCAGGUACCGCGUGAAUAAGGACCGGCUAAUUCCGUGCCAGCCGCUGC
RNAcentral lists this ribosomal RNA (522 nucleotides) under uncultured bacterium. Its description in RNAcentral is "bacterial SSU rRNA". It matches the Rfam family "Bacterial small subunit ribosomal RNA", at positions 8 to 518 of the family's 1533-position model. The record is from RNAcentral.